Sorex araneus (European shrew) is the source of this 104-nucleotide small nuclear RNA. NCBI's taxonomy places the organism in Eukaryota, Metazoa, Chordata, Mammalia, Eulipotyphla, Soricidae. The record is from Ensembl.
GAGCUCACUUCAGUAGCGCAUACACUAAAAAUGGAAUUAUAGAGAUGAUUAGCAUGGCUCUACCAAAGCAUGACACAUGGCUUCAAGAAGUAUCCCAUAUUAAA